Molecule: unclassified non-coding RNA, 475 nt
Filed under: Hevea brasiliensis (rubber tree)
Lineage: Eukaryota; Viridiplantae; Streptophyta; Magnoliopsida; Malpighiales; Euphorbiaceae
Source: RNAcentral
AAAUAAGCUCAAAGGACCACUUCCUGCCAGUAAUGGCUCAAAUUUUACAUCCAGUGCUUAUGGGAUGAAUGCCUCUGGUGCCAAACCUACUGGUCUUUGUCGUUUAUCUCAACUGAGAGUUGCUGAUUUCUCCUUCAACUUCUUCUUUGGUAGCAUACCGAAGUGUCUGGAUUACCUUUCAAAAACUAGCUUUCAAGGAAAUUGCCUUCAAGCAAAAGAUCCCAGGCAGCGUUCUACUGCUUUAUGUGGAGGCACUCCACCUGCCAAAAGCAAUCCAGCACAGAGCAAUAAUAAGCACCGGACUGUUGAUGGAAGAGACAAACAUAAGUCUGCUUCAAAACCUACCUGGCUUUUUGUGUUAGAACUGGUAACUGGAGUUAUUGCAGGUUCUCUCUUCCUUGUGGCUAUUCUGGCUGCCAUUCAGAAGUGUAAGAACAGAUCUUCAAUUAUCAUCCCUUGGAAGAAAUCAGCAAGU